This is a non-coding RNA of Passer domesticus (house sparrow), 459 nucleotides long. The record is from the annotation of a RefSeq genome assembly. Lineage: Eukaryota; Metazoa; Chordata; Aves; Passeriformes; Passeridae.
AUGUCAUCUCCACCAGAGGUUUCCUGGCUCCGGGCGGCCGUGACCCUGCUGGAGUCCGGGGGGGACCUCCAGCCCCCCGGGGGGUCCCUGCGCCUCCUCUGCCGAGGCUCCGGGUUCAAUUUCGGGAGUUUUGGCAUGCAGUGGAUCCGCCAGAGACCCGGGCAGGGGCUGGAGUGGGUUGCAGGGAUCUACAGCGGUGGUGGCAGCACCUACUACGCGCCCUCGGUGCAGGGCCGGCUCACGAUCUCCAGGGACAACGGGCAGAGCUCGGUGACGCUGACCAUGAACAACCUCAAGGACGAGGAUUCCGGAUCCUAUUGCAGCGUGAAAUCUCCUUAUACUGGUGGUGCUGCUGGUGCUGGUUAUGGUGACGACACUGGUGGUUUCUCCACACCCACGCCCCCAGUCCCCAGAGCCCAGACCCUUCCCCCAGACCCCAGCCCCAGACCCAGCUCUUGA